UACGAAGGGAGCUAGCGUUGUUCGGAAUUACUGGGCGUAAAGGGCGCGUAGGCGGCUCUUUUAGUCAGGCGUGAAAGCCCCGGGCUUAACCUGGGAAAUGCGUUUGAUACUGGAGAGCUUGAGUGUGGGAGAGGUUGGUGGAAUUCCCAGUGUAGAGGUGAAAUUCGUAGAUAUUGGGAAGAACACCGGUGGCGAAGGCGGCCAACUGGACCACAACUGACGCUGAGGCGCGAAAGCGUGGGGAGCAAACAGG
RNAcentral lists this ribosomal RNA (253 nucleotides) under uncultured bacterium. RNAcentral's name for it is "partial 16S ribosomal RNA". It matches the Rfam family "Bacterial small subunit ribosomal RNA", at positions 524 to 776 of the family's 1533-position model. The record is from RNAcentral.